This 253-nucleotide ribosomal RNA is filed under the name uncultured bacterium. RNAcentral describes it as "partial 16S ribosomal RNA". It matches the Rfam family "Bacterial small subunit ribosomal RNA", at positions 524 to 776 of the family's 1533-position model. The record is from RNAcentral.
UACGGGGGGGGCAAGCGUUGUUCGGAAUUACUGGGCGUAAAGGGCUCGUAGGUGGCCAACUAAGUCAGACGUGAAAUCCCCAGGCUCAACCUGGGAACUGCGUCUGAUACUGGAUGGCUUGAAUUCGGGAGAGGGAUGCAGAAUUCCAGGUGUAGCGGUGAAAUGCGUAGAUAUCUGGAGGAAUACCGGUGGCGAAGGCAGCCCCCUGGGAUAACACUGACGCUCAUGCACGAAAGCGUGGGGAGCAAACAGG